AUCCAUCUGACGAGUCCCAAAUAGGACGCAAGGCGCGUCCUGGAU
RNAcentral lists this non-coding RNA (45 nucleotides) under Schistosoma mansoni. The record is from RNAcentral. Lineage: Eukaryota; Metazoa; Platyhelminthes; Trematoda; Strigeidida; Schistosomatidae.